GCGGCUCCGCCCCACCGGCGCCAGACCCUUCCUGCUCGCCGUAGGCGCUGUCGCUAGCAUGGCGGCCAAGGUGGCAAAGCUGGCAGCUCUUUCUUCAGGUCUGCCAUUUGUGUGUUUUACUGUAUAUGCAGCAAAAGAGAAGGAAUCAAAAAGUCACCUGUUGAAACCAGAUCAGCUACCAAUUUACUGUCCACCACCUCUGAAAUCAAAAUAUAUCGAAGAACAGCCUGGUCACUUGCAGAAGCAAUUCUCUUCAGUAAGACAGACAACCGGCCGCUAUAUUGGAUGGUGCAAGGAUGCUUUUCUCUUUGUUAAAAAUGGAAUCAUGGAUUCAAUUCAAUUUGGAAAAGAUGCUUACGUUUACCUGAAGAAUCCACCACCAGAAUUUCUUCCCAAAGUUGGUAUCAUUACAAUAUCAGGCUUAGCGGGCCUAGCGCUGGCAAGAAAAGGUUCUAGAUGGAAGAAAAUUGUUUAUCCACUGGGACUUACUGCUUCAGGGAUUUCUGUUUGUUACCCAGCUCAGUCAGUGGUAUUUGCUAAGGUAGCAGGGAAAAAGCUGUUUUCUGCAAGCCAUCAAACCUAUGGGGCUUUGCAAUCACUGUGGGCAAAAAAUGAAGAUGUCACCAAGCUGCAGCAAGAGUCAGUGUCAGUUACUCAAGAAGAUAAGAAAAAGAAAGAAAUUUCUGGUACAAAACCUGAGUCUGCUAUUGAGUCGAGUUCAUUUAACAGAACAGAAUCUUCUCCAGUAGAAUCUUGGAGUAAUGAAGAUCCAGUGCCUUCAUCAGGAGCAGUGAAGACAUCAAAAUUUAAGCCUGAUCCAAAACUUAUGGACCAUGGUCAAUCCAGCCCAGAAGAUGUGGAUAUGUACAGUACUAGAAGCUAAGACAAAUAUGCUUACAAAUCUUUGCAGAAUAUUACAGAUAGGGGGAGGGAAAGAAGGGAAGGAAUAUUCCUUAUGAUACAUACUCUGUGAUGUAUAAUUUAAUCAGGUAUUUUCUUAUAUCCCGAUUUGUAUUAUUCACUUACGUGGUUCUGUUUAGUGAAUGUUUUGUUUCUCACUACCUAGAAGCGGUGAGAGUUCACUCCUCGUCAGUGUCAUUAGUGAGACACUGAGAAAGUGACAUUUGUCAGUGUCUUCUCACAAUGAGGUUUCUCUGUGCCAAGCUUGUUAAUAAAUGUCACUUCACAGAGGAUAUUUGAAAAUGUAAACAUAUGUCUAUAGUUCAGCUCAGAUGUUCAUUGAUCUGAAAGAAGAAUGUGAUGGAUGGGGUUUGCAGAAGCUUCUUUGUCUUUUUCUUCUUUCAGCUCUGGAAUGAAGGGCAAGAGAGUAGCCUUAAAAAGUCACUUGUUACAUCAUCCCAAUAGCAUUAUCUUCAAUGCUUGUAUAAACAAGCCACUUUUUUUUCAUUUCAAAGUCUUUUGUUGUCUGCCUCUUUCACAAAGGCGAACGGAAACUGUGUCUUGUCCUGAAUGCUGCUUUUGUAUUUAAUGUUACUGAAGUUUGGAAGAACACACAGCUAAUCUCUAAAACAUCCUUUAUAGACUGCAUUAGUUUUCAUCUACUUCUAAUGCUUCAAAGAACUGUAUGCAUAUUGCUUAAUCUAUGAAGCUGAUACUGUUUGAAUUUAUAUAGAAUGCAUUAGUAGUGUUCAGAGUUGGAAACUAUCUGUAGUUUUGAGACUUAAAGUGCUUGCAAGUAUUAAAAAUGUAGAAGUAAUAGGCAACCAGCUCUUUCUUCCCAGAAGUUUGUAGGCAAUACCCAUCGAUCUUGGUAGGGUUUGUGUAAAAUCCUGUCAUUUUCCAUAAGAAUGAAAUUAGACAUAAAGUUUCCUAGAAUGAAGCUUUCCAACACUGCUUUUAUCAUUGCGUGUAGCACUCUACUGCUGUUCGACCUCCAUUUCUCUUAAAAAAAACCAAAACAGCUCAUAUUAAGGUUGGAACAGAUCUGCUGGCCUUCCUUGAACAAAGUGCAACUCACAGUGAUGAUCACCCUGCUGCCUAGAGGUAAUCUCACCUGUAGCUAGUGUGGUACUUCCCUAAUAUAUAAACUACAAAAGGACAGUGUGCUUGUACUUUGUCCUUCGAUCUGUUGAAUUCUGCUACCUUUCAGUUACUGAAAAUACGUGCUUUGUUGUAACGUUGAGGGGGGAAGCAAGCACAAACUUACACAAAAACAUAGUUUGGUUGGAUGAUAUGAAGGGAUAUUUGCUCAUGUUCUCCGUAAGAAGAGAUUUCACAACCUGAUUCCUUCUUCUGAGGCUGAUAAUGUAGAGGCAAAUGACUAGUGAAAUACGGGCAAGCAGUAUUCCUAGUGUCAUUGAGGGGCUAGCAGAAGUUGUGAGGGGAUGCACAGUGCAUGGUCCACAAGGCACGUAUGAUGAGUGAGCAAAAGAAUAAGUAAGGCUUUUAGGAUGCUUCAGAAACAGGUAAGUAUUGAUAUUUUGGAAUCCAAAUUUCAGGAAACGUGUUGGACUUUGUUACAGAGUCCAAAGUAAGGUGAAGGCAGUAAAAGUGAGGUUUAAAGAAGAAAAAUUCUAUUAGUGAAGCUUGCUUAGGACAAGUGACUUAGAAUUUAAUGUGUUUUGUUUCUUUAAUCAUCUCUUAAGGUCCAGGAAACUCAGAAUUCAGGCAGCAAUCAGAGGAUAUUAAUCUUUACAGAGCUCCUGAACAAGACACAUUUAAUGUUCCAUAACAGAGAGAGGAGCAGAAAAAUUAGAUAUCUGGACUUCAUAUACCAUUUCCAGGGAAAUGGAUGAAGACGUAAGGCAGGAAGUGAAAAUGGGCAAGAAAUUACUACUUACAAGUGCAAGACUGGAUGGCAGAAAUUGUAUUAUCUAGCUACCUUUGAUCAGAUUCUGGAUAAAAAACAUAAUGCAAAAACCAUCUGCUCUACUCCUAGAUUCUAUUUAAAUUCUAACUUAUGUCCUUUGAGUCAACAAGAAAGGAUGCUCACAGCUUGGAAAAAGAAGGCUAUUAUCUGUACUGGAGGAAUGACAGAGGCAGAUAGCAAAUACAUUUAUCUCAGUAUGGCUCCAUGAUAAUCUUGCAGGUAAAGUAAUUUUCCUAUCCAGGGGUCAUAAAUAAUGUAAUACAUGGUGUAAUCUACAGUGUAAUUACUUAAGAAAAAUAGUGUGACUAAAUAAUGUGGCUAUUUUGAUGGCAGAUUAUCCUUAUGAUUCUUGAAUAACUUAGGAAAUAUUGUAAAGAUAUUUUAAUGCAUCUGUGUAAUUAUUGUGACAGUUUGGAGUAUCUCUGAAUACAUUCAAAUACAGAAAGUGUAUUAAAUCUAGAAAGAACGUGGGGCCCAAAAAGCCUGUGCUUUUUAAAAAGGAACAUGAGUAUGCCCAAGAUUGUCAUUUUUAUUUUAAAUUGCAGGGAUUCUAAGAAGCAAAGCUCAGAUACGUGCUGAUGGUAAGCUACUGUCAAGAAAGAUUGUCACUGAACCAUUCUGGAAGUUAUGUUAUUAUUUAUAUUAUCACAGUAUUGAUGUGCUCUUCUUCACUUCAGAGCAAGCAUACAAAUCAAACUGAAAUGCUAAGGAGAAGGAGAUCUAAAAGUUGGGAAAUCUUGUGGUUCCACUUUUUUUUAUUUGAAGAAACUUCUUUGUAUUUUAAAGUCCAAUGGCUGGAUCUAUUAUUUGUGGUGCAAAAAAUGAGUAUGUCUGUACAUAGUAACACAUUGGAGAAGAGAAAGGAGAGGGAAGUGGAAGUUUGAUCACUGACUCAAAAGUGGUGAAAGGGACAUGCAUUUGGAGUUCUGAGUUCACUGCAGAGCACAGUCAGAACACGGUCAAUCAAUGUGCAAUCAGUUCUUUGCCCUUUCGUUUAUGGGCUGUAGGAGAUUGCUUUUACUCAGCCAACCAAAAGAAAUUCUGUGUGUUUCCCUUGCUGUGAUCAGCUAAUAGGUCUAAACUGAGGUUACCAUGGGUAUAAGUGUUGGUAACUUUUUUUGUGCUUGGUUUGUAGCAGUCCUAAUAUCAAUAUUUGAAAAACAUGUAACUUGCUUUCUGUUUGUGCCUCCCUCUGAAGCUCGGCUACACAACGGUAGUAGAAAGCAUUCUCCAAAGCUGCUGAAAUUAGUUAAUGAGGGUAUACUGUGAAAUAGAACAUAAUGGCUGUUUCUGCCUAUUGGCGUUAGUUUUGUUUGUUGUUACCUAAGUAGGCACUAAAACAAGAAACCUACUGCUGGCCUCUGCAGCCCUUCCGUGAGGCCUAGUCCAAACCUGUUGCAUUCAGUAAAAUGCCAACAAUGUCACAAAAAUUUUGGGGUCACAAAAUAGUUUGAGAUUUGUAAUCUGCUUUAUCAAAACGUCGCACCCAAGUCAGAACUGCAAAUGAGAUUUCUGCAUCCCUGUCUUAAUCCAGUGUCAAAGCCCUGGGUAAAGGUGUUUGUUUAUCACACAACCUGAAGUACUGGCACUCAGCAGCUCUGAGCUGGAACCAGAGAGGAAAUUCCCUGUCAGCAAGAAGAACCAAGCGUGUGUGCGAACACAAGUUACAUCUGAUGAAGGAUCGUGCCAUUUCUUUUACUGAGAAUUUCAAGACAGUCCUGAGGUGUUGCUGGGCAAAUUUCGAAACAGCUCAUGAUGCAAACGUCAAACCCAGGAUUGGAAGAAAAUGCUGCAGCAGAGAAUCGGAAAAUUCCAGCCAGCUGCACUGGAGUUGAGGACUUUGGGGCCUGCUUGGGUCAUACAGACAACUUCUGUCCUACCAAUAUUUCUUGCUAAUGUAAAAAUGAAAAACCUUUCUGCAGAUGUGAUUACUACAGAGUGGACUGUCAGGAGUAUUGGUACAUGGGCCCCAAAUGCAAUCACCAUUGGAACACUCUAGAUUUCAUUUUAGUAAUUAUUCUUCCUGCAGUAGCACUGAUUUUUGUAGCUGUUGUAAUAUUUUACUGUGUCUACCACUGUAAAAGUGAAAAAACUGGGUAAAUUACUCUGAUGCAGUUAAAAGGAGUUUUAUAAUCAAAAUGGAAGUAAAGCAAAAAAAAUCUGGUAUUCUGAUUAAUUCUUAAUCUCUGGAUAUUUAAAUCAACAAGUUUUCCAUACAGCAUCCUCUGCCAAAAUACUCAAUUUAAAACAAAAUCAAAGCAUCUUACCAGAGCAUUUAACAGUUGUUCAGCGUUUUACCACUGCAUACAGAACUUCACUUCACUUUAAGUUGUUACUUCUUUUCUUCAGGGCUAACCGGGAAGCUUUAACGUUGAUAAGAUCCAGACAAAUCCAUACUGUGAAGCACACCAGAAUCAUGCAUUUACUCCUGAAAUGGCUGGUAACUUGGGGCACGUUUACCAGCAGUCGCCAAGGACUGCAAGCUGCAGUCCGUGGGACGUUUCUGCCGCAUCUCCUGGCUGGCUGUGGUGGUCAUGAAAACGUGCACUUGUAAAAAGCCCAUUGAUAAUUCUCUGAGCUUUUGCUGUCAUGCCAGUCAGGCACCAUUGUCUGAGAGGGGCAAGAGAGGCAACCAGAAUCUGCAUCUGAAAGCAUCCGCUCCUGGAGAUGAACUACCCUGAACUGCUUCUCUGGAGAGGGUGCCUGGUUUUGAAAAUUACUUCAGGUCAUUCUAUUUUUAAACAAAGCCACCUUUAGCAAAUGAACAUGACUUUUUAGUUUUAUGAACACUAUGGGAUACUUUGUUUCUUCAUGGUGUUUUCCUUCUUUAUCUAGCAAUAUGUUGGUAAGACAGCAGCCAAUCCUGUAAGCUAUAAUAAUUCAUCUUAAUUGUUGAUCACUGUACUUACUUAGUUAAGUUUUGACUCAGGUUUGCAUAAAUCAGAGAGAAAUCCACUGUUGUUUGUGGAGCAGCAUCUUUCUGAAAUGUGUAAUCAUUAAAGACUCAACAAAACUUCCAGGCCUUGCUUAAAACCCUUAAUACCGGGUUUACUUCAUUGUGCAGACACUGGGGUGUAUGUUUCUGUUAUAUCUUAGAGGUAUGUUUUCUGUAUUAUGCAAGCAUGUAAGGCCUUUUCUUCUGCUGAGUCUUUUAGAUAAACUGAAUUUAUACAUUUGAAAACAUCUCUAACAAACAUUAUAUUUUGUAACUGAUAAAUAGGUUUAUACAGUUUUUUUUACACCAAAGAAGACAGCUGCUGACAUACCCAGUGAGCUGUUUCUGUAACUUGCUGACAUUUUGCUCUGUGUAACCACCUGAUCCCCUACAUACAGGAUGUCUGGGUUGAAGGAAUUCCAAAACCUGUACUGAGAAGACAAGAUUUUGAUGAUGUCCCAAGCCUGGAUCAAUUAGACAACUACAGGUGUAUGCUGCUGGUUUUCUGUGCCUUUUUGCUCAUUUUCACUUACACUCUAGUUUGGAGACUUUAGAAUCACUUCGUAGCUUUGCCAGUGGCCACAGCAACUGACAAAGAUCCAGUAAAUAGCAAAGCUUUUGACUGCAUUAUUGAUGUAACUUUUGUGGCUUGAGACUUUGAUAGAAGCUUUUCUGAAUUUUUUCUUUAUUCUCCUGUACCUUGCAUAAUUCCCACAGCGUUGCUGCAAGAAUUCUGGGGCUAUUUUGUACGUCAUUACUAAAUGUGAACUAACGCACAGGACCAGGUUUAUCAACUUGCUGUUUAAGACUUGGUCUGGUUUCCUAAUGUAUCACCAAAAAGAAGAAGUCAAGCCCCAUGCAUCCUCAGCCAUUAAGGAGACCAGAUGCAGCAACAGACUAUUUUUCUAACCAGUGACAUCAAACAGAGAUUUGGCUACCCAAGUGAUAAUUUGCCUUAUGCAGAUUAUGCACAGGGGAGACAGUAUCAGGAUGGUUAUAUCCAUAUCAGGGGGAAAGGGGUUGUGUGCGUUCAUAUUUCUCAGGAAGGCUUGUCAAAGGCAGCUUUUGCCAGCGGCUGACCCGUGUUCGAAGCUGUCCCGCUUUCAGAGUUUCUGAGGGAGGAGCACUUACGAACUGCUGCGACUGUUCAACCGUCGUCAGCCAGAAGCUGUAUUUGUUUGCAAAGUAAUGGCACGUUCCCCGGGCCCCAUUGCAUUCAAUGAAGGGAGUAGCACGGAAAUCCUCCAGGCAAGAACCAGGGGAGACAAGGGACUGGCCUCCACCUUCUGCACCAGCCGCGGUAUGCUGAAAGAAACAUGGUGAUGUAAAUGAGUGUGAAGGAACAGAGUGGGAGAUAAGGAGGACAGUCCUCCAGUUCCAUUGUUAAAAGGAAUAAAACAGGCAACCACAAUAA
Molecule: RNA transcript, 7179 nt
Organism: Strigops habroptila (Kakapo)
Lineage: Eukaryota; Metazoa; Chordata; Aves; Psittaciformes; Psittacidae
Gene: APOOL
Gene name: apolipoprotein O like
Exons: 18
Source: RefSeq, a predicted model, not a curated record